Molecule: ribosomal RNA, 425 nt
Filed under: uncultured prokaryote
Description: bacterial SSU rRNA
Rfam family: Bacterial small subunit ribosomal RNA
Source: RNAcentral
UAGGGAAUUUUCCACAAUGGGGGCAACCCUGAUGGAGCAACGCCGCGUGCAGGAUGAAUGCCUUCGGGUUGUAAACUGCUUUUAUGAGUGAAGAUUUAGACGGUAACUCAAGAAUAAGGGACGGCUAACUACGUGCCAGCAGCCGCGGUCAUACGUAGGUCCCAAGCGUUAUCCGGAAUUACUGGGCGUAAAGAGUUGUGUAGGUGGUUUAUUAAGCAAGGUGUGAAAGCGUGCGGCUCAACCGUAUAUACAUACUUUGAACUGAUAGACUAGAGCGCGAGAGAGGUUAUUGGAAUUUCUAGUGUAGGAGUGAAAUCCGUAGAUAUUAGAAGGAACACCGAUGGCGUAGGCAGAUAACUGGCUCGCUGCUGACACUCAGACACGAAAGCGUGGGUAGCAAACGGGAUUAGAUACCCCUGUAGUCC